Molecule: ribosomal RNA, 406 nt
Filed under: uncultured bacterium
Lineage: Bacteria
Description: partial 16S ribosomal RNA
Rfam family: Bacterial small subunit ribosomal RNA
Source: RNAcentral
AUUGAACGCUGGCGGCAGGCCUAACACAUGCAAGUCGAACGAGUGGCGGACGGGUGAGUAAUGUCUGGGAAACUGCCUGAUGGAGGGGGAUAACUACUGGAAACGGUAGCUAAUACCGCAUACCAUCGGAUGUGCCCAGAUGGGAUUAGCUUGUUGGUGUGGUAACGGCUCACCAAGGCGACGAUCCCUAGCUGGUCUGAGAGGAUGACCGGCCACCCUGGAACUGAGACACGGUCAAGACUCCUACGGGAGGCAGCAGUGGGAAAUAUUGCACAAUGGGCGAAAGCCUGAUGCAUCCAGGCCGCGUGUAUGAAGAAGGCCUUCGGGUUUUAAAGUACUUUCAGCGGGGAGGCGUUACCCGCAGAAGAAGCACCGGCUAACUCCGUGCCAGCAGCCGCGGUAAUAC